Long non-coding RNA from Pipra filicauda (Wire-tailed manakin), 3527 nucleotides. RefSeq lists it as uncharacterized. NCBI's taxonomy places the organism in Eukaryota, Metazoa, Chordata, Aves, Passeriformes, Pipridae. The record is from RefSeq and is a predicted model, not a curated record. The transcript is spliced from 3 exons.
GGGCAGAAGGACGGCAGGCAGGCGCUGGGAAUGCCAGAUCCGUAUCUCCCCUCCGCGGGGCUGCGGCACCCCCGCGAAAGGCCCGAGAAGGGAGCGAGGGUGAGCGGCCGUGUGUCCUGUCCUGCUGAGAGACGUGGAUGCAAAAAGGAUGGAUUGUCCUGAUACACAGCUGGCAUCUAUGGAUCUGUGUCACAGGGAACAUCCCACAGUUCUCCAUACAACACCCUAUGUGAGGAAGAAUGGCUUGGAUAGGAGAUGCUGGGGAACAGAAUUCCUCACCCACUGGCACCUGAGACCUCCACCCUGAGUCUUCACUCGUCAUGGAAGGAUUAAUUCAGUACUGGGGCAACCAGCAGAGCUCUGAGCACUUGCUUUUCACAGGAGCAUUUCAUGUGUAGAACCAGCAGCUGAAACUGAGCCCCAACACUCCCCACCUACUUAACCUCCAUGUUAUAAAAAAAAACUAUUACCAGCAGAACACUAAAUGACUGCAAUACUUGCAACAGUUAAAAUUACAAGUCAAAAAGUCAGUUGCUGCAUUCCCUAGAAAGUGUUAACUCGCCCUUUUUAUGUACUGUAACCUGUUCUUGCUUCCCUGUUGAGUUUAUAGCAUAAUACUCUUUUUUGCAGACUGUUAAAACCGCUCCAUAAAACACCCGACACGUUUAACAAUGUCCAAGUUAAUUAUGAAAGAUUUCAUGGCCUACCAGGUUUGUUAAAUCACAGCUGGUGUAAACCACCAAAGGUCCACUGACUUCAAAGCUGUGCAGUUGUUUAUGCCAGUAUAAUAGCUGCAUCUUUGCCCUUUUUAUUUUCUUCUAGCUCUCAGCUUCUGUCCCAGAACCCCAUAUAGGCACAUUAGAAGCAACUGGAAAGCAGACUCUCUCACCUGCUUCAGUUUACAUCCAAGCUGAGCUGUGAGCUGAACUGAAAGUCAAGAGCAUUAAAUGGGGUGCAAAGCAGAAAUUGCCUUGAAAAUCCCCAGAAAUUCUGUGCUCUAAACAAGAUUUCCCAAGUGCUGUUUUGUCUUCUGAUACUCCUCACAAGCUCAGCCAAAAAGAUUCUGAUGAUGUACCUAACCUUGAAGCAUCUCUGGAGAUUUUCUGGCUUGUGAUAACCUGCUAACAUUUUUCUCUAUGCUGCUUUCAGAAAUAUUCUUAUAAUACACAACCCUGAAUCACCAGACUUUCAUUACCAUCCUAUUUUACAGAACCUGCACUUGUAAAGGGUGAAGUUCCACAGCUGACAAAACAUUAGUCACAAAGCAAUAGAACACCAUUUACCUAGUUGCUCUAAAAUAUGUUUCUAAAACUUGGAGCAAUUUUGCUGUGAUGUAAAUCUUUGAGCCACAAUACCUCUUGGAAUGAAUUGUUAACUCUUAAUGGGAAAAAAAAAACCAAACAGAACUGUUACAUUUCAGAGAAGCUUGUUCGAAUUUAAUUUUCUUAAUGUUGCUCAUCUGAAAAAAUAACAUGGAUAAUGGAAGGAAGAGCCUGUUAGUCUCCUACAAUCCAUGAGCUGCCUCAGCACAACUUCUGAAGUCAAUCUAAGAACAAAUGUCCUCCAUGCUCACAAAGCUCAAGCUGAAUCACAGAAGCUCAAAGCUAUUCUGGCCUAUCCAAACUCUUAUGCUGCUUAAUCAAUGAUUAUAAUAAGCAUUUCCCAACAUCAUUCUCUUGAAAAAAACCCAAAACAACAGAGCAGCAUUCUCCAGGAACUAAGAGCAGCCUGGGAUUUGGGAUUUAGGGGAGAGCUACAAAGGGCUCCACUGAUGGUCCUGGCACUCUGAGGCAAGGAAAGCACUCAAGGGUAAAGCACUUGGCUGUCUGGGAGGCAAUCUGCUCUAACAGGGCGCCUGCUGAGCAAUCAGAAACAACAUUUACCAACCUCCCCACCAGAAGACAUUGCUAGAAGCAAAAAGGCAUUGUCAGAGAAAGGUAGGAGGUUAAACAGAGGAGGAAAAAUGGCUUUUAUGAGACCACCACGGGCGACACGUUGGUAUUUAUCAGCAAAACAGCCAGCAGGAGGAGGAGAGGGAGAAACAGCCAAUGUUUGACUGUUCCAGAGUAUUCCUUACUCCCCUUCCAUAUCAGACAUCAAGCUCCACAACACCCAAGAGUCCUCUCAUUUUAGGAAAAGGGAGAUGAAUGGGACUAAUGGGUCAGAGUGAGAGGGCCCAAUCACACUUUGGUUACAGGCAUUCCAUAGCUUUGGUGAGAGUUCAAAUAGGCCCUUGGAAAGCAAAUAGCAAUUUAUCUUGCAAUUGUCUUUUUAUGGGAUUAUGCAAGGGUUUCGAUGAAACAGCUGAUGAUGAAUUUAGGUUUCAACACUCAUUUUCCCAGCGGCCUUGUAAAUAUAUAAAAGGUCAUGACAUAGUUGGAAAGAAGGAAGAGCAAUUAUUGUAAAGAAAGCUCAUGCUCCAGAGCAGCCAGCAGCUACAGAACUGCGAGCACAAAGCUAGGAGUGAACAUCACAGAUUGUAAUAAAAAAAUACCUUGACUUCUCUACACACAGUGGGAUUUGCAGCAGUCAUAGGGAAUACCUGGCAUGUGAUCAUUUGAAUUAAUAUUCCCUUAUCAGUGUUACCACUAUUUCACAGACUAUCUGCAAGCAGAUGUACUUUAACUGACAUCUACAUUCAGAUUAAUUUGGUAAGCAAAUUUAUUUUUUCAACAGAAAAACCAGGAAUAAUAGAUGUCAUUUGCUUUUACAGUGCCAAGAAGAUGUUAAGUGAUGUAUAAACUUGUAAUACACCAGGAAUUCAAGCAGGAGCGUGGCCUCGUUUUGCACAUACACAUUUUGAGAGGUUGGGACUGUUUGUUACCAUCUAAGUCAGUGACACAGAAAGAAAGUUGCUCAAAAUGAGCAUUAUCACUCCCCUAAGAGACCACGAUCUUACAAGAAGUCUUAGACAAGCCGAGACCAGAGUCCAGAUUUCCAAGAAACCUAAUCAAAUACCAUGUUCUCCUCCGUGCCUCACAACACUGAUAAAAACAAAAAGAGAUAUUUUAGAUAUGUUGCAAUAGCAAGAAUCAGAGCCGUGUAGGGUGGGGGAAAGGAUCUUGUGAUCAGUGUCAUAUAAACAUCAAUCAGUGGCCGGUGUUUGAUAAAUAUUGGUAUAUUUUAUUGUCAGUAAAAUCCUAGUCAUUGAUACCAUCUCCAAGCUGGCAUAACAGGAGUUAUUUUUGAAGGAGGAUUUGAAUUCAAGCAUUGCUGCGUUGCAGACUAGUUCAGGAAAAGUCCGUAAAAUAGAGGAGAAACAGGAAUGUGACUUCAGCUUGGCAUUUCAAAGUCAUCCCAAAUUCAGUAACAUGAGCUCAUCACCACGGAGCCAGAGCAGUGUCAGUCCUGCUGCAAACCCAAGUGCCUGAUCAUGUGCAGCCCUGAUCCUCCUUGGCACUUCCCUGAUUUCCUCUGAGCUGGAGGUACUGAUUGCUUUCGGGGAUCAGUUCAUAAAAGGGGAUUCACAGGCAGAAAUGGGACACGGGAGCUCAAGAGGCCCUUAGCACGGGCCUUUUUACAUGGAA